RNAcentral lists this long non-coding RNA (1925 nucleotides) under Theobroma cacao (cacao). RNAcentral describes it as "long non-coding RNA (TCAC_LNC002226)". Lineage: Eukaryota; Viridiplantae; Streptophyta; Magnoliopsida; Malvales; Malvaceae. The record is from RNAcentral.
UUUUUGUUUUUUUUUUUUGUUUUCUGUGUGGAAUGAGCUUUCAUGAAGCUGGCAUUAGGUGCUGGCUGCUGUGCUAUUCGAAUAAUGCCUAAUCUUCAACUCUUACCUUCUAAAUACUAUUUGUUAUUGGCUAAUUAUUUCAAGUUAAUCUUGAUGCCUUGUCUGACUGCCAAUUGGCCCAAAAUGGAGGUUGCUUUGUUUGGAAAGAAAGUUGCUUUCAUACUGCCUUUUCCUUCUAGGAAUAUUGCUGGAUCAUGGGGUUCAGAUGGUCAGUGCUUGUAGGAAAAUGCCAUAGCCUGCAUUGGCAUGUUGAUACAGGUAAUUUCCUGUUCCACAAUGUUUCUUUUUGUACAAAUAAUUUGGCAUUUUAGAAUUUCACAACUUUGAUGGACAUUUAAUUUCUACCACGCAUUGUUUUGUCCUAGCAAUUAUCAUUCUUUUGCUUUUCUCUUAGCUACUGGUUUUACCUUUUUUUUUAUUGGAAAAAAAAGAGGCACGGGUUGGGUGGGGUGUUUAGUUAUUAUAGAUUACGUAAACUGUGGAACUGCAGGUUCUUGUAUGGUUUGAUGUGGCCAUGUGGGCAUCAAGCCCUGUUUCAUGGGUUACUAAUGUGUCUGGGAAUAAGAAUUCCCCUUUUUUGGGGUCUGAUGAGAUUGAUAAUGUGGUAAUGUACUCAUUCCAGGUCUGCGAUUUGUUGAUUGCACAAGCAAUAUAGAAUGUGAUUUCUCCCCUUCCCCUUUAACUUUUUGGUAUUUGAUUUAUAAAGAUGCCAGGGUUGCCUACUUCACUAAGAUUUCUGAUCCUAAUUAUAUCUGUAUAGAUUUGGUACAGAUUUUUCUGAAUGUAGCAGCGACUACAUUGGGCAUUGCAUACUCACUGCAAAGUCCAAGCAACACUAGAAAAAAGAAAAUAGUAAAGAAGGAAGAAAAACACCCCACUAUAGGAUUGAGUAAUUGUGGUUAAUGUUUUAUCAAUUGAAAACUCUAAAGCUACAACGUUGGGAAUAUAGUCAAAGUGCAUAUAUGCUAUGGAGUGAGAAUGUAAGAUGGAACAGAAAGUUGGAAGUGGGAAAGAACAGAUUCUUAUAAAGUUUGUGUGCAAGUGGUUGAUUUGUGAGGUGGGAUUGUGCCGCUUCACAUGAACUGUCAUCAUUGAGUGGACGUUGGGAGCCCAUGUUAGAAAAAGAUAUUUGACUCUAAACAAGUCAAAUGUCACUUUGGUAGGAUGGUCUUCAAUCUUUACGUCUUGAUAUCUCCUCUUCUGCUGCUGUCAGUUCACUGUCAAAACUUGUAGCUCUUGCUUAAUAGCGUCAUCUUUCAUGUCCUGGCACAGCUUUUGUACGGUAGUGUUGGUUUCUAGCCUUGAUCUAAGUGGCUUCUUAAUCAAUUAGAUAUUUGAUCAAUAGAGUUCUAAUUUGUCAGGUAUUGAGGGGCAAAGUCUAUGCCCAAUUAUUGAUUUCAUUUUUGGUAUGAAGUGAUCAUUUCUCUUCUUUACACUAGAGCGAGACCAAGCUUUAUGUUUACUUGAGAUUCCAGAUUGUUUAAUUAUCAGCUUGGAUUCUUGAUGAGUUAUUUGUGCCAAGACUGCAAAUAAUUUUCCCUUUUGUUUAUUCGUGCCUAUAUGGCUUUAAAUGGGGGAAUGUUACAAGCUCAAAAAGAAGUUAAACAAAUUAUUAUCAUCAUGCCAUUUACUUGAACAAAUUUUAUUCAUUUACUUUUCCCCAUAUAUAGGGCUUCUGCCAUCUGCCAUUACCUCCUUUUUCCCUUUCAUAUGUAGUCUUAAAGCAUGAUGUACUAUUAAGAUAGUACAGAUAUUAUUAAUGGGAUCCUUUAGGACCAGACCCACCAUCCUAAUGAUUCUUCAUGCUGCUGCUGCUCCUCCGUGGCCGUGAACACAUUGGAGAAGUAACUCCGGCCAUCAUCACU